GAUGAACGCUAGCGGCAGGCCUAAUACAUGCAAGUCGAACGAGAUUAAGAGGCUUGCUUCUUAUGAAAGUGGCGCACGUGUGCGUAACGCGUAUGCAACCUACCUUAAUCAGGGGGAUAGCCCGAAGAAAUUCGGAUUAAGACCGCAUAAAAACACAGGAUAGCAUUAUCCAAUGUUCAAAUAUUUAUAGGAUUAAGAUGGGCAUGCGUGUCAUUAGCUAGUUGGCGGGGUAACGGCCCACCAAGGCGACGAUGACUGGGGGAUCUGAGAGGAUGACCCCCCACACUGGUACUGAGACACGGACCAGACUCCUACGGGAGGCAGCAGUAAGGAAUAUUGGUCAAUGGAGGGAACUCUGAACCAGCCAUGCCGCGUGCAGGAAGACAGCCCUCUGGGUCGUAAACUGCUUUUAUUCGGGAAUAAACCUUUCUACGUGUAGGAAGCUGAAUGUACCGAAGGAAUAAGGAUCGGCUAACUCCGUG
Molecule: ribosomal RNA, 482 nt
Filed under: uncultured bacterium
Lineage: Bacteria
Description: partial 16S ribosomal RNA
Rfam family: Bacterial small subunit ribosomal RNA
Source: RNAcentral